RNAcentral lists this transfer RNA (75 nucleotides) under Alphaproteobacteria bacterium CG_4_10_14_0_8_um_filter_53_9. Its description in RNAcentral is "tRNA-Val". It matches the Rfam family "tRNA". Rfam says of the family: Transfer RNA (tRNA) molecules are approximately 80 nucleotides in length. Lineage: Bacteria; Pseudomonadati; Pseudomonadota; Alphaproteobacteria. The record is from RNAcentral.
GGGCGGUUAGCUCAGCGGUAGAGCACUACAUUCACACUGUAGGGGUCACAAGUUCGAUCCUUGUAUCGCCCACCA